Molecule: long non-coding RNA, 1174 nt
Filed under: Lonchura striata (white-rumped munia)
Lineage: Eukaryota; Metazoa; Chordata; Aves; Passeriformes; Estrildidae
Description: domestica (Bengalese finch) lncRNA (ENSLSDG00000007899.1)
Source: RNAcentral
GUGGCACCGAGGGCGGCACCGUGGGGACGCCAGGGGGGCACCCCCGGGGGCAGCGGGCGCUGGAACAGGGGGUUGGUGUGGAAAUGGGGCUCCUCGUCCUCCUCCUGGGCUUCGUCAUCCUCAUCUUCAUCAUCUUCAUCAUCCUGGUCUUCAUCAUCCUCAUCUUCAUCAUCAUCUUCAUCUUCAUCAUCAUGGUCUUCGUCAUCCUGGUCUUCGUCAUCCAGGUUCUCACCCAGGUUCUCCUCCACGUUCUCCUUAUCCAGGUUCUCACCCAGGUUCUUCUCACCCAGGUUCUCCUUAUCCAGGUUCUCACCCAGGUUCUUCUCACCCAGGUUCUCACCCAGGUUCUCCUUAUCCAGGGUCUCCUCCUCUUCAUUCUCAUGGGAGAAGCCACCAUGGACAUCACGGUCAUGGUGGUCAUCAUGGUCACGGUGGUCAUGGUGGUCAUUGUGGUCAUCUAGGGCAUUGUGGUCAUCAACGUCAUUGAGGUCAUGGUGGUCAUUGAGGUCAUCAAGGUCAUUUUGGUCAUUGAGGUCAUUGCGGUCAUCAUGGUCAUGGUGGUCAUUGUGGUCAUCGAGGUCAUCUAGGUCAUGGUGGUCAUUGAGGUCAUUGAUGUCAUUGAGGUCAGGGUGGUCAUUGAGGUCAUUGUGGUCACCAUGGUCAUGGUGGUCAGUAUGGUCAUGGUGGUCAUUGAUGUCAUUGAGAUCAAGGUGGUCAUUGAGGUCAUUGUGGUCACCAUGGUCAUGGUGGUCACUUAGAUCAUGGUGGUCACGGUGGUCAUCACGGUCAUCACUGGCCUGGUGGUCGCCAUCGUUGCCGUCACCUUCUUCUUCCUCCUGGCUGAGUCUGGGGACUUGGGGCUUGGGGGAGAUGGGACCAUCCAUGGUGGGACCAUCCGUGGUGGGACCAUCCAUGGUCACAGGUCUGGGGGAGAUGUCCCCAUCCCUGGUCACAGUCCAUGAGGAGAUGUCCCCACCCAUGGACAUGUGGGAGAUGCUCCCAAAGAGGAACUCAAAGCUUUGGUCCAUGGGAACAGCCUGGGGUGGGAUGUCCUCAUCCAUGGAUGCCUGGGAGAUGCCUUCAAACGUGGAUCCAUGGCCUUGGAGCUGCUGGGAGAUGCUCCCGGCCACGGUCAUGGACUUGGGUGGGGUGGACCCAUCUGUGGACACCUGGA